Small nuclear RNA from Mandrillus leucophaeus (drill), 94 nucleotides. NCBI's taxonomy places the organism in Eukaryota, Metazoa, Chordata, Mammalia, Primates, Cercopithecidae. The record is from Ensembl.
GUAUCCACUUCAGCAGCACAAACACUAAAAUUGGAAUGAUGCAGAGAAGAUUAUCAUGAAUGGCAUGCAAAUUCAUGAAGCCUUCCGUAUUUUG